AUUGAACGCUGGCGGCAUGCCCUACACAUGCAAGUCGAACGGCAGCACGGGUGCUUGCACCUGGUGGCGAGUGGCGAACGGGUGAGUAAUACAUCGGAACAUGUCCUGUAGUGGGGGAUAGCCCGGCGAAAGCCGGAUUAAUACCGCAUACGAUCUACGGAUGAAAGCGGGGGACCUUCGGGCCUCGCGCUAUAGGGUUGGCCGAUGGCUGAUUAGCUAGUUGGUGGGGUAAAGGCCUACCAAGGCGACGAUCAGUAGCUGGUCUGAGAGGACGACCAGCCACACUGGGACGGAGACACGGCCCAGACUCCUACGGGAGGCAGCAGUGGGGGAUUUUGGACAAUGGGCGAAAGCCUGAGCCGGCAAUGCCGCGUGUGUGAAGAAGGCCUUCGGGUUGUAAAGCACUUUUGUCCGGAAAGAAAUCCUUGGCUCUAAUACAGUCGGGGGAUGACGGUACCGGAAGAAUAAGCACCGGCUAACUACGUGCCAGCCGCCGCAGUAA
Molecule: ribosomal RNA, 502 nt
Filed under: uncultured bacterium
Lineage: Bacteria
Description: partial 16S ribosomal RNA
Rfam family: Bacterial small subunit ribosomal RNA
Source: RNAcentral